Molecule: non-coding RNA, 148 nt
Filed under: Nomascus leucogenys (northern white-cheeked gibbon)
Lineage: Eukaryota; Metazoa; Chordata; Mammalia; Primates; Hylobatidae
Source: Rfam by way of RNAcentral
GCCGGGCGUGGUGGCGGGCGCCUGUAAUCCUAGCUACUGGGGAGGCUGAGGCAGAAGAAUCGCUUGAACCCAGGAGGUGGAGAUUGCAGUGAGCCAAGAUCAUGCCAUUGCACUCCAUUCUGGGCAACAGAGUGAGACUCUGUCUCAA